This 768-nucleotide ribosomal RNA is filed under the name uncultured Russula. RNAcentral's name for it is "partial 28S ribosomal RNA". It matches the Rfam family "Eukaryotic large subunit ribosomal RNA", at positions 216 to 962 of the family's 3401-position model. The record is from RNAcentral. Lineage: Eukaryota; Fungi; Basidiomycota; Agaricomycetes; Russulales; Russulaceae.
GAAUCCCGUCUUUGGCACGGACCCCCAGGGCUUCUGUGAUGCGCUCUCGAAGAGUCGAGUUGUUUGGGAAUGCAGCUCAAAAUGGGUGGUGAACUCCAUCUAAAGCUAAAUAUUGGCAAGAGACCGAUAGCGAACAAGUACCGUGAGGGAAAGAUGAAAAGCACUUUGGAAAGAGAGUGAAACAGUACGUGAAAUUGUUGAAAGGGAAACGCCUGAAGUCAGUCGCGUCGAUCGAGACUCAGCCUUGCCUCGGCUUGGCGUACUUCUCGGCUUGACGGGUCAGCAUCGAUUUUGACCCUCGGAUAAUGAUGGGGGAAAUGUGACACCUUUAUGGUGUGUUAUAGUCCUCUGUUGUAUGCGCAGGUUGGGAUCGAGGAACUCAGCACGCACCUCUCGGUGUCGGGGCCUCGGCCUACGUUCACGUGCUUAGGAUGCUGGCGUAAUGGCUUUAAACGACCCGUCUUGAAACACGGACCAAGGAGUCUAACAUACGCGCGAGUGUUUGGGUGGAAAACCCAUGCGCGCAAUGAAAGUAAAAGUUGGGACCUCUGUCGUGGAGGGCACCGACGCCCGGACCAGACCUUCUGUGACGGCUCUGCGGUAGAGCGUGUAUGUUGGGACCCGAAAGAUGGUGAACUAUGCCUGAAUAGGGUGAAGCCAGAGGAAACUCUGGUGGAGGCUCGUAGCGAUUCUGACGUGCAAAUCGAUCGUCAAAUUUGGGUAUAGGGGCGAAAGACUAAUCGAACCAUCUAGUAGCUGGUUCCUGCC